This 490-nucleotide ribosomal RNA is filed under the name uncultured bacterium. RNAcentral's name for it is "bacterial SSU rRNA". It matches the Rfam family "Bacterial small subunit ribosomal RNA", at positions 40 to 518 of the family's 1533-position model. The record is from RNAcentral.
CGACAGGCUUAACACAUAGCAAGUCGAGGGGCAGCAUAGAAGUAGCAAUACUUCGGUGGCGACCGGCGCACGGGUGAGUAACGCGUAUGCCAACCUACCUAUCGAGAGGGGAAUAACCCGGCGAAAGUCGGACUAAUACCGCAUAAAACAGGGGCACCGCAUGGUGAUAUUUGUUAAAGAAAUUCGCUGAUAGAUGGGCAUGCGUUCCAUUAGGUAGUUGGUGAGGUAACGGCUCACCAAGCCGACGAUGGAUAGGGGAGCUGAGAGGUUGGUCCCCCACACUGGUACUGAGACACGGACCAGACUCCUACGGGAGGCAGCAGUGAGGAAUAUUGGUCAAUGGGCGGGAGCCUGAACCAGCCAAGUCGCGUGAAGGAAAGAAGGAUCUAUGGUUCGUAAACUUCUUUUGCAGGGGAAUAAAGUGCAGGACGUGUCCUGUUUUGUAUGUACCCUGAGAAUAAGGAUCGGCUAACUCCGUGCCAGCAGCUGC